UUUGAUUUGGAAAAGCUUGAAAAUCAACUAAAGGAGCAGCCCGAACAAAUAAAGAAACUGGUAGCCUACUUUGGAAUCAUUGGUGUUUUCUACUAAGCAGUUUGGCGUAUCCUGGAAAAGCUUUUGGCUAACUCCUUGGCUAAACAAAUUAACUGGAGCGGGCCAAAUUAAAAAGUGGCCUUUCGUGCACUCCCCCUUAGGACUGUUGUAGUCAAUGGAGUGAGGACAAAUGUCCAUACCAUGCCACUGAUAAAGAAGUGGAAAA
This is a non-coding RNA of Danio rerio (zebrafish), 265 nucleotides long. The record is from RefSeq and is a predicted model, not a curated record. NCBI's taxonomy places the organism in Eukaryota, Metazoa, Chordata, Actinopteri, Cypriniformes, Danionidae.